RNAcentral lists this ribosomal RNA (491 nucleotides) under uncultured bacterium. RNAcentral describes it as "partial 16S ribosomal RNA". It matches the Rfam family "Bacterial small subunit ribosomal RNA", at positions 30 to 506 of the family's 1533-position model. The record is from RNAcentral.
AUUGAACGCUGGCGGUAGGCCUAACACAUGCAAGUCGAACGGCAGCACAGUAAGGGCUGGCUCUUACGUGUGGCGAGUGGCGGACGGGUGAGGAAUACAGCGGAAUGUACGUUGUCGGGGGGUAUCACGUGGGAAAACUUACGCUAAUACCGCAUACUACCUACGGGUGAAAGCAGGGGAUCUUCGGACCUUGCGCGAUUGAAUGAGCCGAUGUCGGAUUAGCUAGGUGGGGGGGUACAGGCCCACCAAGGCGACGAUCCGUAGCUGGUCGGAGAGGAUGAUCAGCACCACUGAACUUGAGCCCGGUCCCAGACCCCUCCGGGAGGCAGCGGUGGGGAAAAUUGACCAAUGGGGGAAAGCCUGAUCAAGCCAUACGGGGGGGGUGAAGAAGGCCUUCGGGUUGUAAAGCCCUUUUGUUGGGAGAGAAAAGCAGCAGGUUAAUACCCCGCUGUUCUGACGGUACCCAAAGAAUAAGCACCGGCUACCUUCGU